This is a non-coding RNA of Hypoxylon argillaceum, 100 nucleotides long. NCBI's taxonomy places the organism in Eukaryota, Fungi, Ascomycota, Sordariomycetes, Xylariales, Hypoxylaceae. The record is from the annotation of a GenBank genome assembly.
GGUCCCAUAGCUCAGUUGGUCAGAGCGUCGUACUAAUAUUAUAACUACAAUUGUAACAUGAGUAAUGCGAAGGCCGUGAGUUCAAGCCUCACUGGGACCA